RNAcentral lists this ribosomal RNA (707 nucleotides) under uncultured bacterium. RNAcentral's name for it is "bacterial SSU rRNA". It matches the Rfam family "Bacterial small subunit ribosomal RNA", at positions 53 to 773 of the family's 1533-position model. The record is from RNAcentral.
ACGAAGCAUUUCUUACGAUCCCUUCGGGGUGACGAGUUAUUGACUGAGUGGCGGACGGGUGAGUAACGCGUGGGUAACCUACCUUGUACAGGGGGACAACAGUUGGAAACGACUGCUAAUACCGCAUAAGCGCACAGCAUCGCAUGAUGCAGUGUGAAAAGUUUUUUCGGUACAAGAUGGACCCGCGUCUGAUUAGCUAGUUGGUGAGGUAACGGCCCACCAAGGCGACGAUCAGUAGCCGACCUGAGAGGGUGACCGGCCACAUUGGGACUGAGACACGGCCCAAACUCCUACGGGAGGCAGCAGUGGGGAAUAUUGCACAAUGGGCGCAAGCCUGAUGCAGCGACGCCGCGUGAGCGAAGAAGUAUUUCGGUAUGUAAAGCUCUAUCAGCAGGGAAGAUAAUGACGGUACCUGACUAAGAAGCACCGGCUAAAUACGUGCCAGCAGCCGCGGUAAUACGUAUGGUGCAAGCGUUAUCCGGAUUUACUGGGUGUAAAGGGAGCGUAGGCGGUUUUACAAGUCUGAUGUGAAAGCCCGGGGCUCAACUCCGGUAUUGCAUUGGAAACUGUAGAACUAGAGUGUCGGAGGGGUAAGUGGAAUUCCUAGUGUAGCGGUGAAAUGCGUAGAUAUUAGGAGGAACACCAGUGGCGAAGGCGGCUUACUGGACGAUUACUGACGCUGAGGCUCGAAAGCGUGGGGAGCAAAC